Molecule: ribosomal RNA, 636 nt
Filed under: Salpingus sp. UPOL ZL0053
Lineage: Eukaryota; Metazoa; Arthropoda; Insecta; Coleoptera; Salpingidae
Description: eukaryotic LSU rRNA
Rfam family: Eukaryotic large subunit ribosomal RNA
Source: RNAcentral
GGAGUCUAGCAUGUACGCGAGUCAUUGGGACUUAACAAACCCUAAAGGCGUAAUGAAAGUAAAGGUCCGCCUUGCGCGGACCUAGGGAAGAUGGGCGACCGUUUCGGCUGUCGCCCCGCACUCCCGGGGCGUCUCGUUCUCAUUGCGAGAAGAGGCGCACCAAGAGCGUACACGCUGGGACCCGAAAGAUGGUGAACUAUGCCUGGUCAGGACGAAGUCAGGGGAAACCCUGAUGGAGGUCCGUAGCGAUUCUGACGUGCAAAUCGAUCGUCGGAACUGGGUAUAGGGGCGAAAGACUAAUCGAACCAUCUAGUAGCUGGUUCCCUCCGAAGUUUCCCUCAGGAUAGCUGGCACUCAGAUAGAACGAGUUUCAUCCGGUAAAGCGAAUGAUUAGAGGCAUUGGGGUCGAAACGGCCUCAACCUAUUCUCAAACUUUAAAUGGGUGAGAUCUCCGGCUUGCUCGAACGAAUGAAGCCGCGAGACUCGAAUCAGAGUGCCAAGUGGGCCAUUUUUGGUAAGCAGAACUGGCGCUGUGGGAUGAACCAAACGCUGAGUUAAAGCGCCUAAAUCGACGCUUAUGGGAUACCAUGAAAGGCGUUGGUAACUUAAGACAUCAGGACGGUGGCCAUGGAAGUC